GUCUAGUUAUUCCAAGGACUUCACCCUUAUAUGUCAUCAGAUCUGCAAGAAGCAUCAUGUGCCGCAAAUCUAUUGUCAUUCCAUGACUUGACAUGGUAUAAUUAAUCUCAUCAAUUAUGGAAACCCUUGCUGCUUCAAUGCCUAGAGUAUGCUGCACCUCCAUUAUAUGAUUGCUCUUUGUAUAACGUCCAUCAACUCCUUCAAUGCCCAUUACAGCAAGGAGACCGGUACCUUCAACAAGCAACUCAUAUGUUUCCCCUUUGACAUCAUUUUUACGAUCUUUUUGUUGUUCU
Molecule: unclassified non-coding RNA, 293 nt
Filed under: Hevea brasiliensis (rubber tree)
Lineage: Eukaryota; Viridiplantae; Streptophyta; Magnoliopsida; Malpighiales; Euphorbiaceae
Source: RNAcentral